Molecule: ribosomal RNA, 253 nt
Filed under: uncultured bacterium
Lineage: Bacteria
Description: partial 16S ribosomal RNA
Rfam family: Bacterial small subunit ribosomal RNA
Source: RNAcentral
UACGAAGGGGGCUAGCGUUGCUCGGAAUCACUGGGCGUAAAGCGCACGUAGGCGGAUUGCUAAGUCAGGGGUGAAAUCCUGGAGCUCAACUCCAGAACUGCCUUUGAUACUGGCGACCUUGAGUCCGGGAGAGGUGAGUGGAACUGCGAGUGUAGAGGUGAAAUUCGUAGAUAUUGGGAGGAACACCAGUGGCGAAGGCGGCUCACUGGACCGGAACUGACGCUGAGGCGCGAAAGCGUGGGGAGCAAACGGG